CAUCCUACGGGGGGCAGCAGUAGGGAAUCUUCCACAAUGGACGAAAGUCUGAUGGAGCAACGCCGCGUGAGUGAAGAAGGGUUUCGGCUCGUAAAGCUCUGUUGGUAGUGAAGAAAGAUAGAGGUAGUAACUGGCCUUUAUUUGACGGUAAUUACUUAGAAAGUCACGGCUAACUACGUGCCAGCAGCCGCGGUAAUACGUAGGUGGCAAGCGGUGUCCGGAUUUAUUGGGCGUAAAGCGCGUGCAGGCGGGUCCAUAAGUC
Molecule: ribosomal RNA, 262 nt
Filed under: uncultured bacterium
Lineage: Bacteria
Description: partial 16S ribosomal RNA
Rfam family: Bacterial small subunit ribosomal RNA
Source: RNAcentral